AGUAAUAAUAAUAAUAAUAAUAAUAAUAAUAAUAAUAAUAAUAAUAGAACACAACACACCAGACAUUACAGUUGUGGAAAAGAAAAAGGUUUGGAUCAUUGAUGUUGCCAUCCCAGGUGACAGUUGUGGAAAGGAAAAAGGUUUGGAUCAUUGAUGUUGCCAUCCCAGGUGACAGUCGCAUUGACGAAAAACAACAGGAAAAACUCAGCCGCUAUCAGGACCUCAAGAUUGAACUUCAAAGACUCUGGCAGAAACCAGUACAGGUGGUCCCGGUGGUGAUCGGUACAUUGGGUGAUCUCAGCCGGCAUUUGGAAACAAUAGAAAUUGACAAAAUCAUGAUCUGCCAACUGCAAAAGGCCACAGCCACUGAUGGAUGCCACUACAAUAUCCAUAGAUAAUCCCUGUGGUUGGCAAAUAUGGAGUUUGAUCCAGUAAUCUAGAGCUUUAUUGUAACAAAAUUCAUUAAUUAAUGCACCGGAAAUUAUAAUGAUGAGUUUAUUAUUAUUUAGGGAAUACAGAGUAGGGCAUAUUUCUCACAGGUAGAACUACACACAUUCAUACAGUGCUUAUAAAUAGCACUUGUUUUGCCACAGUUUCUUCUUGUUAAUAUAUUUUAAUUGAUUGGAUGUUUUUUUUCUCACCCAUGGGUGAAGAUGGAAUAAUCCUUGAACUACUUUUCAACAACCUUUCUUUUUAUCAGUGGUGUUCCAUUUUUAAACACAAAACACACAGAAAUAGACAUUCACUGAUCUACAAAGCUAGUAAGAACUUCCAUCACAAUGGCAUCAUGGAUACAAAAAACUGUUUUGGUGUAUGUGGGAGGGAAGGAACCAGAAAACUUUGAAGAAGGCUUUUGUGUCUGUGAAUUCCUGGUCCUCUCUUCUACUAAAUCACACAGCUCAAAUCCGUGCAGCCCCCAAGUGUCCCUGCAGUGUUAGACAUGUCAAUGGCAGAAGCUCCCUACUGUGGGAGACCUGACCCUGAACACUUUCAUUUGGUACCAUGCUGUUAUUCCUUAUAAUUUUCCUGCUUCAAUUCCCUCCCCCUGCCCUUAGUUAAUUUUUCAUCACCCUUUGUAUUAUUUAUUGUAAUAGAUUGUAGAACCAUGCAAAGAAAUAUCCCAUUGUUAGAAUGAUUUGAAAUUAAUAAAAUGGAUUAUUGAAAUAAGUUGCUUCUAAAUAUUAAUGAGAGAAAUGAGCACCUAGGAUGCCAUGUGAGUAAGGGCUUACUAGCUGAAGAGGCAAAGUUCCUUGAUAAUGUAAGACCUGAUAUUGCAUAAAACUAUUGCUAUUCUCAGACCUGGUUUCCACACCUGGUGGUACUUUAAUGUGCAGAUUUCAGUGCUUUCAUGAACAGCUUCCAUAUAGAGGAGUUGUUUCUACUUAAAAGAAAAUUGCAUUCAGUUCAAUAGGAUGUGCUUCUAGAU
RNAcentral lists this long non-coding RNA (1426 nucleotides) under Anolis carolinensis (green anole). Its description in RNAcentral is "lncRNA (ENSACAG00000042112.1)". Lineage: Eukaryota; Metazoa; Chordata; Lepidosauria; Squamata; Anolidae. The record is from RNAcentral.